RNAcentral lists this ribosomal RNA (253 nucleotides) under uncultured bacterium. RNAcentral's name for it is "partial small subunit ribosomal RNA". It matches the Rfam family "Bacterial small subunit ribosomal RNA", at positions 26 to 285 of the family's 1533-position model. The record is from RNAcentral.
AGGACGAACGCUGGCGGCGUGCUUAACACAUGCAAGUCGAGCGGAAAGGCCCUUCGGGGUACUCGAGCGGCGAACGGGUGAGUAACACGUGAGCAAUCUGCCCUUAGCUUCGGGAUAGCUCCGGGAAACCGGAAUUAAUACCGGAUAUGACUAUGGCUGACAUCAGCCACGGUGGAAAGUUUUUCGGCUAGGGAUGAGCUCGCGGCCUAUCAGCUAGUUGGUGGGGUAACGCCUACCAAGGCGACGACGGGUA